UGUUAUAUCUGUUCUUAUCAGUUUAAUAUCUGAUAUGUCCUUUAUUUGACAACUGUAUAUUAAAUUGAUUUUUGAAACAGGAGGAUGGAAUAGAAGCUUGCUCUGUCCACCCCAGGCAUCGACCUGAUAUUGUGGUGUCUCCAGAAAUGGAGC
This 153-nucleotide small nuclear RNA is filed under the name Chelonoidis abingdonii (Abingdon island giant tortoise). Its description in RNAcentral is "U2 spliceosomal RNA (ENSCABG00000007781.1)". It matches the Rfam family "U2 spliceosomal RNA", at positions 32 to 185 of the family's 192-position model. Rfam says of the family: U2 is a small nuclear RNA (snRNA) component of the spliceosome (involved in pre-mRNA splicing). Lineage: Eukaryota; Metazoa; Chordata; Testudines; Testudinidae. The record is from RNAcentral.